Molecule: unclassified non-coding RNA, 417 nt
Filed under: Hevea brasiliensis (rubber tree)
Lineage: Eukaryota; Viridiplantae; Streptophyta; Magnoliopsida; Malpighiales; Euphorbiaceae
Source: RNAcentral
UCAAUAAAUUGAGAGCACACUGUUUUUUCUACUAUUUUUUAAUAAAAUUUAUCUUGAAAGGUCAGUCACAUGAAAAUUAGAGGAAUUCUACCAUUAAAAGGGAGGAAAGAGUAUGCAUAGAAAAGGGCAAAAACCCACAAAUUUAUUUAUGAUCCAAAGUGAAAAUUGCAAAAAAUUAACAAGAAAAGAAAAAGGAACAAGAAACCUGCUUGGCGGUGAUAGCAGAAAAUCUGAAAUUCACCUUCUUCUCACAGCAAUAAAACAGGAAACAGCAGCCAUUAUAAUCGCCAAAGCAAUGGAGCUCACAUCAUCAAAAAUGGCAGCAAAUCUCAUUUCUUGAAGAUCCCAAAGAGUUGAAACACAUAGACACAACCCUUCAAUCACUACUACUAAGAUUCCCAUAGCUCUUCCCACCUC